UGUUUUGCUUCUGAAUGUUUAUGCUUUCCAGCUAUGAGUGAAUACAUGAAAUAGCUCUUCUGUGCAGUGGGAAGCAACCUAACGAGCCUGAGCUACACUGAGGGCACUGGAGGAGUUUACAAAUGUGUGGAGAGCAUGUGCUGAGCAGCCCAGGGGAAACCACUCAAGGGAGUCCUCUGACAGAGCUGGGGACAGCACUGUGCCUGGAGCAGAACCGAAAAUCAACCUAAGCAAAAAAAGAGGCAUCUCAAUCUCCAUUGAAUGCAUUUCACAGGAAGCCAGAACAUGUUUUGGAUGGCAAAAUGGGAUAAGAGGAUUUACAUACUGGACACUGCAGUAAAAAGAGACUCAGAAGAAGAAUACAGCCAGUCUGCUGCUCUAUGGUCAAGGUUUGCUCUCUAGAGUUUCCUCAGUUAACCCAGGGACUGGCUUCCUACAGCUGGCUACCAGUUCAACACUUGAAGCACAGCUCAUCUUUAACAAAGUCCCAAGAUGAUGAAUGUGGUACCAAUCUCAGCCUGCAUGGGCAACACCAGCUCUG
Zonotrichia albicollis (white-throated sparrow) is the source of this 541-nucleotide long non-coding RNA. RefSeq lists it as uncharacterized. The record is from RefSeq and is a predicted model, not a curated record. NCBI's taxonomy places the organism in Eukaryota, Metazoa, Chordata, Aves, Passeriformes, Passerellidae.